ACACUCUGUGCUAUUGUUGUGCAAUGUACAAGAUUUUUCUAAGGCAAGCACGUUAUUCCCAUAAAACUGAUUGCAAAAGUGUGUUCUCCCAAGAUGUGUAUAUAAACACGUGCUCAAAGAGAAUAAUAAAUAUAUUGUGAAGAUCUCUGAUCAGUCCGAUGUAUAUGUUUUAUCUUCAGACUCGUAAAUUUUUUGUUCCUUUUUUUUUUUUUUUUUUUUUUUUUUUUUUUUUUUUUUUUUUCAAUGUUGAGUUCACAUCUUCAGACAUUUCUUGUAUUGAGUUUUGUUAAACUUUGAGCUCGUCAAUUUCCCUUGCCUAAUUUGCAUGGUAAAACCAUAUCAAGUGCCCAGAAAAGUAGAACCCUUGUUAUGGGCUUCUUUUUCUUGAUUCAUUUUGUUCUUUAAGUAACCCAUAUUCAGUUUUCCCAAAUCAAUUCUUAAAUCAAUUUCUCUGCCUGUUUAAGGUUCUUUAUUGCUGUUGUUCCCGGGGUUUAUUGGUCUCCGUUUGGUUCAUAUAAGCAGGACAAAUGGCGGAACAUGCGUACUCACUAUGGGAAAACAAAAUUACAUCUACAGUAAACAAAAUUACAUCUGGUGCUGUCUCCACUGCCAAAGCUCCAAAUGCUGCUGCUGCUUCUUUGACUCCUGUGGAUUUUGCUGUAGAUGAUCCCUCAAAAAGACAAGAUGUUGAAAAUGUAACAACGUAUGCUUUCCCUACCCUUUUCUUGUUACCUUGAUCACGCGAGAGGAAUUGAAUGCGAAGAAAAUGGAUUUCACGACCUUAUGGUUUGGGGAUUUAAUUGGCAAAAUCGUGUUUCCUUUAGUUGUUAUAGUUGCGUUUGAAAGAUGUAAUUUCUGUCAUGGCCAUGACUUGGUACUUAACAUUUGGAGUGCUUUAACUGGCCACGUCAUUUUUCCAUCAUCCACAUCAGUAGCUCUACUAACUGAUUUCAUUCAUUGAUUGAUAGAGUGAAACGAAGCAAAGUUUAGUAGCUAAUGAGAUGCUUUAUGAAGUUUGGAGAGUAUGUCGUAACAUGAUGCAAC
This 1044-nucleotide long non-coding RNA is filed under the name Olea europaea (common olive). RNAcentral describes it as "long non-coding RNA (OEUR_LNC004971)". The record is from RNAcentral. Lineage: Eukaryota; Viridiplantae; Streptophyta; Magnoliopsida; Lamiales; Oleaceae.